Dendronephthya gigantea is the source of this 1022-nucleotide long non-coding RNA. RefSeq lists it as uncharacterized. NCBI's taxonomy places the organism in Eukaryota, Metazoa, Cnidaria, Anthozoa, Malacalcyonacea, Nephtheidae. The record is from RefSeq and is a predicted model, not a curated record. The transcript has 3 exons.
AAAAAAAAAGAAAACAUAAAAAGAGAAAAGAAAAAAGAAAAGAAAAUGAAAAUAAAAAAAAUGAAAAAAGAUUCAAUACGAGAAGUGACAUUUUUACAUGUAAUAUAUUUGUAUCAUUGUAUACGUAAGCAUGUAAAACUUGUUAAUACUUUUCUUCGUCAACUGGAAAUACAUGAACGUACGUAUUCUGGUUCAAACCAAGGAGAAUAUCUGGACUAAACAAGGUGUAUGACUCGUAAUUGUUCUCAAGAUCCCACGAUUCGUGUGAAACCCGCAUUUGGUUACGCAAAAAAAGCAUCUUGAGCGGAAAAAGAGGAGGAAAUAUGGGAGAGAAAUGGGGAAGAAAGGUGAAAAAAGGUAAGAAUAUUCUGAAGAUAACAGGAUAAAGAAAUGCAAAAGAACAUAUGCAAAUUCACAUGCAAGAACAUAUGCAUAAACAACUAAAUAUAUCUCUUUUCAUGAUAAGCGAACCUCAUCAUCAAUAAGAUGCCAAAUGAUAUUUAAGCCUAAUAUUAUUGAUAAUUUAAAAUAUAACAAUAGCAUAAUCCCUUAAUAACAGUAGGGAGUAGAUAUUGACAGGUGCACAUACUGAAAUCCUAAAAUAAAAAAGCAUUUGUCCACAUAAUUCGCAUUUCUAUGGAGAAGUCAAAGAUCAUAUUCACUUAUUUAUAAAAUAAUGGCAAAAGUACAUCCUUAUGUAAAUAAUUUACGUGGGAAUAUACGAGAAAUAAUAUUAUGACAUGCUAUAAACAGAAAAUGCAAUCACUAUCUUUAAGGCCUGCAAUUAAAUGCUGAAAUAAGAAUAAGAUUUGAUCUCAGUCAUAACAAACGAUAAGCAAGGGUACUUUACGUCUUUGUUGAUUAUAUUUUACUGAAUUCGAAUAUUCAAACGUGUAAAAUAAGUAUCCUUGCAUGACUGCACAAAAGAAAGUAUUCAAACGAUUUGUAUUGAUUGCUUUCAUAUAUCAUAUAAAUUAUAAAGUUUGACACAGAAGCAAUCCCUGUCAAAUAAUUGCAUCUAC